AAUGAUCAAUAGCUGAUUUGAGAGGAUGAUCAGCCACAUUGGGACUGAGACACGGCCCAAACUCCUACGGGAGGCAGCAGUAGGGAAUCUUGCACAAUGGGGGAAACCCUGAUGCAGCGAUGCCGCGUGAGUGAAGAAGGCCUUUGGGUUGUAAAGCUCUUUCGUCGGGGAAGAAAAUGACUGUACCCGAAUAAGAAGGUCCGGCUAACUUCGUGCCAGCAGCCGCGGUAAUACGAAGGGACCUAGCGUAGUUCGGAAUUACUGGGCUUAAAGAGUUCGUAGGUGGUUAAAAAAGUUGGUGGUGAAAUCCCAGAGCUUAACUCUGGAACUGCCAUCAAAACUUUUUAGCUAGAGUAUGAUAGAGGAAAGCAGAAUUUCUAGUGUAGAGGUGAAAUUCGUAGAUAUUAGAAAGAAUACCAAUUGCGAAGGCAGCUUUCUGGAUCAUUACUGACACUGAGGAACGAAAGCAUGGGUAGCGAAGAGGAUUAGAUACCCUCGUAGUCCAUGCCGUAAACGAUGUGUGUUAGACGUUGGAAAUUUAUUUUCUGUGUCGCAGCGAAAGCAAUAAACACACCGCCUGGGGAGUACGACCGCAAGGUUAAAACUCAAAUGAAUUGACGGGGACCCGCACAAGUAGUGGAGCAUGUGGUUUAAUUCGAAGAUACGCGCAGAACCUUACCAACACUUGACAUGUUCGUCGCGACUUUAAGAGAUUAAAGUUUUCGGUUCGGCCGGACGAAACACAGGUGCUGCAUGGCUGUCGUCAGCUCGUGUCGUGAGAUGUUGGGUUAAGUCCCGCAACGAGCGCAACCCUCACUUUUAGUUGCCAUCAUUUAGUUGGGCACUCUGAAAGAACUGCCAGUGAUAAGCUGGAGGAAGGUGGGGAUGACGUCAAGUCCUCAUGGCCCUUACGUGUUGGGCUACA
RNAcentral lists this ribosomal RNA (925 nucleotides) under marine metagenome. RNAcentral's name for it is "bacterial SSU rRNA". It matches the Rfam family "Bacterial small subunit ribosomal RNA", at positions 275 to 1218 of the family's 1533-position model. The record is from RNAcentral.